UGUUAAAAUUUCAUCCAUUUCUACUAUUAAGAACAAGCUUAGUUGAUAGAAUAAUCAGACAGUUACACUAGGCGUGCUAUAUGUACCUCAAGUUGAUAUAUAGGUAUCAGUUUUUAACUGUAGGAAUAAGUGAAUUUUUAAACC
Gossypium hirsutum (cotton) is the source of this 144-nucleotide non-coding RNA. The record is from Rfam. NCBI's taxonomy places the organism in Eukaryota, Viridiplantae, Streptophyta, Magnoliopsida, Malvales, Malvaceae.